This is a long non-coding RNA of Dermacentor silvarum, 2203 nucleotides long. RefSeq lists it as uncharacterized. The record is from RefSeq and is a predicted model, not a curated record. NCBI's taxonomy places the organism in Eukaryota, Metazoa, Arthropoda, Arachnida, Ixodida, Ixodidae. The transcript has 2 exons.
UCAAUUGUUCCUGUCGGUAAGCGCAGAAACUGGGCAUUCUCUUCGAGAAGUUGCUCCCUAAAAAUAUUGACGCCUUUUGGGGCAUAUCUUGUCCUCGAACAGUAGUAAUCUAUCUUGCGUGCAUUUAUUUUUCUUGUUAACCACUUUCACCUUCAUGUCAACGCUAUGCCGCGCGGAUGCGCGCAUGCUGUUCUUUAACGAAACGGUAAUGAAAAAAAAAUGACGAUUGUUGUUUGACAAGCUAGCUAGAUGACGAUUAUUGUUUGGCAUCAAGUGCAGAUUAUUACCCUAAAUCAGCCAGCCACUGAUCAGAGCGGAUAAGCAGGAGCAGCGCCUCCUUUAUUAAUUUAAUAAAGGAGGCAAAGGCAGGAGGCAUAGGAAAUGGUCCUAUGGAACAGGAAAUGGUCCUUCAACUAAGUGAAAGAGAGAGAGAGCGCAAGGGAACUUUACUUCUCAGUGGGGCUCUUCGAUUUGUCAUCCUGGACUGCUUGAGGUGGUGCUUUCCUUUCAGCCAAUGAGAAUUGUGUACGCAGCGUCUCGGGCAGUCCUAGAUGACAAAUCAUAAUAGAGGCCUACUUUGUUGUGUUGGGGAGGUUCCACGAUACAGGAGACAAGUGUCUGUGUUGGAAGACAUGGUUCCACUUGAUACAAGUUGCAAGGUGCAUGCUUAGCAUCCAAGUUGAAACCAUCGGAAUGCAUUGUUUGUGAUGGUAGCUAGUACACUUCAUGACAGUAUGAACUCAAGUGCAAAGUAGUUGAAAGUUGGCAACUGCCAGUGUCAGAUCCGAAUUCUUGUUGAUCACCCAAUACAAAGUGAAACGCCACAUAGGUAAUCAUCAGCUGUAAAACACAGAACUGUUUUUCAGUAUUUCUAAACCACCAGGUCAUUUACUAGUGCUUUAGUCGCCACUCUUUAUUGCUUCUUUCCAAUCCUACUGUGCACGCCUUCAGUGGCAGAAAGCUUUAGUUCUCAGCCUGUGGUGUGCUAUUGCUUAGAAAAGUCGUAUUUCGUUGCGUUUGUUUUGCAUGACAGCACUAUUAUAUAGAAUGUCUAUGCACUGCUGUGUGGGAAGCCAAUGAGAUUGCUUGACCUGUUUACAGGAUUCAGGCUCAUUCUACGAUUUUACGAAUGGUUUGUCAAGAUUUACAAAAAAUAAAUUCAGUCUUCUGAGAAAGUUUAACUCAUCGGUCUCAUACCCUUGAGAGUGUUCACAUUGUGAUAUGACACCAGAGGGUGAUGCCUCGAGUAGCUCUAUUCAGACAAGGUCACAGAGCAGGCGAUAUCACCAACAACAAAAUCGCUGAAAAAGUCACUGUGACCUGAAACACAUUGCUUGACAGUUUGUGCUGUUCCACAAUUGCUUGUAUGUUGCGUCUGAAAAUCAAUUAUUGUUAUAAAGUGCUUAUGUAUCUCACAAAAGGGGUGUGCUCAGGACAAACUGCAUUCUAUUCCAUCUUUCUCCCUUUUGGUGUUGAGUGAGUGAUCUUUCGAAUUUUCAAAGUUCACAGGUGUGCAGGCAUGCCUUUGAAUGAGGUAAUUGUUUUAUGUUAGGUAAGCAGAGGUGGGUGAAAAAGCACAGGGCAGUGUCAUUGUAAUCAUUAGGUUUGUGCAACUUUUGAAAUCCAUUUCUAAGUUACACGGUUUAUGCAGGUUGCAUAAUCUAGGCCUUAGUGAGGAGCUGUCUCGCUGAUUAAUUUCAUUCAAACAUACUUGAAACUCCCUUUAUUAGCAAGUACAAAAAGAUGCGCAAUGCCUUGCUUGGACCCAUAGUUGAGAUGGUCAGUCCUGCUAUGAAUCUGGGUGCUUUGACUAUUUGGUUACUCAGCUUGAGACAGCAGUGUCGCAAAUGUAGGAAAGGCUGCAUCAAUGGUCUUUUUGUGUACGUUAUCUACAUGAUUUUAGCGCUGUUCCUGUAUCUACUGAUCAAAGAAGUCUGUUUGUACUUUUUAUUUCGUACAGUAAAUUAAGUAGCAGAUGUGCUCUGCGACAAAGGAUGCCCUCAUCACCAGUGGCACUGGUUAGAGGCAGAACUAAGCAAGCCAAAUGAUGAGAGUGAUGUACUGGAACUAUGAACGAGAAGAAAGGGAACAGAGGGGCCCGAUUUUUAUUAAUCAUAUCAUAAGAAGCCAACAAACAGUGACGCCAAGGACAACAUAGGGGAAAGUACUUGUACUUACUAAUUGAAUUAAAGAAAUGAUAAAU